GACGAACGCUGGCGGCGUGCUUAACACAUGCAAGUCGAGCGGUAAGGCCCUUUCGGGGUACGACGAGCGGCGAACGGGUGAGUAACACGUGGGUGACCUGCCCGCCAGCUCUGGGAGUAAGCCUGGGAAACCGGGUACUAAUACCGGAUAUGACUCCAUGACGCAUGUUGUGGGGUGGAAAGCCUUGUGCGGCUGAGGAUGGGCCCGCGGCCUAUCAGCUUGUUGGUGGGGUGAUGGCCUACCAAGGCGACGACGGGUAGCCGGCCUGAGAGGGCGACCGGCC
This 283-nucleotide ribosomal RNA is filed under the name uncultured bacterium. Its description in RNAcentral is "partial 16S ribosomal RNA". It matches the Rfam family "Bacterial small subunit ribosomal RNA", at positions 28 to 309 of the family's 1533-position model. The record is from RNAcentral.